AUUGAACGCUGGCGGCAUGCUUUACACAUGCAAGUCGAACGGCAGCACGGGCUUCGGCCUGGUGGCGAGUGGCGAACGGGUGAGUGAUGCAUCGGAACGUACCGUGUAGUGGGGGAUAACGUAGCGAAAGUUACGCUAAUACCGCAUACGCCCCGAGGGGGAAAGUGGGGGACCGCAAGGCCUCACGCUAUAUGAGCGGCCGAUGUCGGAUUAGCUAGUUGGUAGGGUAAAGGCCUACCAAGGCGACGAUCCGUAGCGGGUCUGAGAGGAUGAUCCGCCACACUGGGACUGAGACACGGCCCAGACUCCUACGGGAGGCAGCAGUGGGGAAUUUUGGACAAUGGGCGCAAGCCUGAUCCAGCCAUGCCGCGUGAGUGAAGAAGGCCUUCGGGUUGUAAAGCUCUUUCAGACGGAAAGAAAUCUCCUGGGCGAAUACCCUGGGAGGAUGACGGUACCGUAAGAAGAAGCACCGGCUAACUACGUGCCAGCAGCCGCGGUAAUACGUAGGGUGCGAGCGUUAAUCGGAAUUACUGGGCGUAAAGCGUGCGCAGGCGGUGAUGUAAGACAGAUGUGAAAUCCCCGGGCUCAACCUGGGAACUGCGUUUGUGACUGCAUCACUCGAGUACGGCAGAGGGAGGUGGAAUUCCGCGUGUAGCAGUGAAAUGCGUAGAUAUGCGGAGGAACACCGAUGGCGAAGGCAGCCUCCUGGGCCAGUACUGACGCUCAUGCACGAAAGCGUGGGGAGCAAA
Molecule: ribosomal RNA, 749 nt
Filed under: uncultured bacterium
Lineage: Bacteria
Description: bacterial SSU rRNA
Rfam family: Bacterial small subunit ribosomal RNA
Source: RNAcentral